Molecule: small nucleolar RNA, 78 nt
Organism: Corylus avellana
Lineage: Eukaryota; Viridiplantae; Streptophyta; Magnoliopsida; Fagales; Betulaceae
Product: small nucleolar RNA snoR64a
Source: RefSeq, a predicted model, not a curated record
AGUCUUUGAAUUGUUAAGAGUGCUCGAACUUUGUUUGGGCGCUAUGAUUCAACAAUCUUGAAUAGGAAGAUCUGAUGC